UGUAACAUUUAAAAAUGUAACUAUUAGGAAAUGUAAAACCCAUUCUUGUGAGUGAUAUAAAAACAAGUGGUGGGUUGAAUUUGGCCCUGCUGUGGUUGUCCACCCCUGCUCUAGAGGAAUAAUAUACACAGAUAAUCACACCCCAAUCCACAAGACAGAGUCUCUCUUUCCCAGAGGUCCCAGAGCUAUGAUGACCAUGUGACCUAGUUCUACUCAACGCUGUGCAAGGAGAAGGCUGCAGCUGGGUUUCUGGGAGAAACUCUCCUACCAUUUUGC
Molecule: long non-coding RNA, 276 nt
Filed under: Macaca mulatta (Rhesus monkey)
Lineage: Eukaryota; Metazoa; Chordata; Mammalia; Primates; Cercopithecidae
Description: lncRNA (ENSMMUG00000038500.2)
Source: RNAcentral